CACACUGGCUAACAACCAAACUCACGUGCCCUCGGCACAAUCUGAUACAAAAACAGUAAUUCGGAUCCACCGUCAACCUCAACGGCACCCAACAGACCGGAAUAAUCUAAACACUGCUGUAAAAAUAAACUCGGCAUCCCAGCAUGAGCGUAAAUACAUUCUACACUAUACUGGAUAUCCACCGCCCACAACCUGCGGUGGUACCAAUAAACUACGGCUCAUAGAGCUAAAUCUGGUAGUUUAAACAUAUGACGGUGUAGAAUCGUUAGUUUUCUCCUAAGUCAAAUCCCAGUCCAACAUGUAUAUUUAACUAACAUUUAAGCUUCAAUUUCAGAUUCCAAUAA
This 344-nucleotide long non-coding RNA is filed under the name Ananas comosus (pineapple). RNAcentral's name for it is "long non-coding RNA (ACOM_LNC006881)". Lineage: Eukaryota; Viridiplantae; Streptophyta; Magnoliopsida; Poales; Bromeliaceae. The record is from RNAcentral.